GCCAGUGUGGCGUAGUGAUUUGCGCAUUGGAUUAGGAUUCUGAAGACUAGGGUUCAAAUCCUGGCUCAGCCA
Phrynosoma platyrhinos (Desert horned lizard) is the source of this 72-nucleotide non-coding RNA. The record is from the annotation of a GenBank genome assembly. NCBI's taxonomy places the organism in Eukaryota, Metazoa, Chordata, Lepidosauria, Squamata, Phrynosomatidae.